GGGGGGAUGGUCUAACUUGGUCAUGACUCGAGGUUUGGGACCUCGUAAUUCGGGUUCAAAUCCCGAUCCCCUCA
Molecule: transfer RNA, 74 nt
Filed under: Candidatus Aenigmarchaeota archaeon CG1_02_38_14
Lineage: Archaea; Nanobdellati; Candidatus Aenigmatarchaeota
Also listed under: 7 other names
Description: tRNA-Pro
Rfam family: tRNA
About the family: Transfer RNA (tRNA) molecules are approximately 80 nucleotides in length. Their secondary structure includes four short double-helical elements and three loops (D, anti-codon, and T loops).
Source: RNAcentral